RNAcentral lists this ribosomal RNA (478 nucleotides) under uncultured bacterium. RNAcentral describes it as "partial 16S ribosomal RNA". It matches the Rfam family "Bacterial small subunit ribosomal RNA", at positions 28 to 523 of the family's 1533-position model. The record is from RNAcentral.
GACGAACGCUGGCGGCGUGCUUAACACAUGCAAGUCGAACGGUGAGGCCCUUCGGGGUACACGAGUGGCGAACGGGUGAGUAACACGUGGGUGAUCUGCCCUGCACUUCGGGAUAAGCCUGGGAAACUGGGUCUAAUACCGGAUAGGACCACUGCCUGCAUGGGUGGGGGUGGAAAGCUUUUGCGGUGUGGGAUGGGCCCGCGGCCUAUCAGCUUGUUGGUGGGGUGAUGGCCUACCAAGGCGACAACGGGUAGCCGGCCUGAGAGGGUGACCGGCCACACUGGGACUGAGGUCCGGCCCAGGGUCCUAAGGGAGGCAGCAGUGGGGAAUAGUGCACAAUGGGCGCAAGCCUGAUGCAGCGACGCCGCGUGAGGGAUGACGGCCUUCGGGUUGUAAACCUCUUUCAGCACCGACGAAGCGCAAGUGACGGUAGGUGCAGAAGAAGGACCGGCCAACUACGUGCCAGCAGCCGCCGUAA